Non-coding RNA from Poecilia reticulata (guppy), 487 nucleotides. The record is from RefSeq and is a predicted model, not a curated record. Lineage: Eukaryota; Metazoa; Chordata; Actinopteri; Cyprinodontiformes; Poeciliidae.
UCUUUAAAACGGCUCCAGGCACAGACUUCACAUCACAUCAGUCUUUGCUGGAGAGAGCACCAUGACGAGUAUCCCCCUCAUCUUGCUUGUAUUGGUAGCCGCGAUGGUGCCGACAGCCUCAGCCCAAGGUGGAAUCUCACACUGCUGUCUGAAAUUCACCGGCACAAAAAUUCAUCGAGAAUUGCUGACGAGCUACUACCAAGAAGAUAAAUCAUCAUGCAGACUACAAGCAAUUGUAUUCACAACAGUCAUGAGUAAAAGAAUCUGUGCCAGCCCCUUCAAUGCGUGGACAAAAACCAGCAUGGCCUUUCUGGACGGAAAAGCAUUUGCGCAAAAACAGUUAUCCUUAAAAAAUGGAAGAAAGGAACGUCACUGACACUGAUGCUUCUAAUUGAGACACAAGCCCUCAAUCUGUCAUCUUAAGCUGUUUGAGUUUAAUCAAAUUUAGACUUUAGAACGUACCUCAGCUUUAUAAAAAUUAAAAAUC